This 443-nucleotide ribosomal RNA is filed under the name uncultured bacterium. Its description in RNAcentral is "partial 16S ribosomal RNA". It matches the Rfam family "Bacterial small subunit ribosomal RNA", at positions 338 to 795 of the family's 1533-position model. The record is from RNAcentral.
CCUACGGGAGGCAGCAGUGGGGAAUAUUGGGCAAUGGGCGCAAGCCUGACCCAGCAACGCCGCGUGAAGGAAGAAGGCCCUCGGGUUGUAAACUUCUUUUAACAGGGACGAAGAAAGUGACGGUACCUGUUGAAUAAGCCACGGCUAACUACGUGCCAGCAGCCGCGGGAAUACGUAGGUGGCAAGCGUUAUCCGGAUUUACUGGGUGUAAAGGGCGUGUAGGCGGGAGGGCAAGUCAGACGUGAAAUUCCAGGGCUCAACCCUGGCACUGCGUUUGAAACUGUUCUCCUUGAGUGAUGGAGAGGCAGGCGGAAUUCCGGGUGUAGCGGUGAAAUGCAUAGAUAUCCGGAGGAACCCCAGUGGCGAAGGCGGCCUGCUGGACGUUAACUGACGCUGAGGCGCGAAAGCGUGGGGAGCAAACAGGAUUAGAUACCCGUGUAGUC